RNAcentral lists this ribosomal RNA (468 nucleotides) under uncultured bacterium. Its description in RNAcentral is "partial 16S ribosomal RNA". It matches the Rfam family "Bacterial small subunit ribosomal RNA", at positions 28 to 507 of the family's 1533-position model. The record is from RNAcentral.
GACGAACGCUGGCGGCGUGCUUAACACAUGCAAGUCGAACGGAAAGGCCCUGCUUUUGUGGGGUGCUCGAGUGGCGAACGGGUGAGUAACACGUGAGUAACCUGCCCUUGACUUUGGGAUAACUUCAGGAAACUGGGGCUAAUACCGUAUAGGAGCUCCUGCUGCAUGGUGGGGGUUGGAAAGUUUCGGCGGUUGGGGAUGGACUCGCGGCUUAUCAGCUUGUUGGUGGGGUAGUGGCUUACCAAGGCUUUGACGGGUAGCCGGCUUGAGAGGGUGACCGGCCACAUUGGGACUGAGAUACGGCCCAGACUCCUACGGGAGGCAGCAGUGGGGAAUAUUGCACAAUGGGCGGAAGCCUGAUGCAGCAACGCCGCGUGCGGGAUGACGGCCUUCGGGUUGUAAACCGCUUUCGCCUGUGACGAAGCGUGAGUGACGGUAAUGGGUAAAGAAGCACCGGCUAACUACGUG